GACGAACGCUGGCGGCGCGCUUAACACAUGCAAGUCGAACGGAAAGGCCUGCUUUCCCUUGUGGAUUGCGGGUACUCGAGUGGCGAACGGGUGAGUAACACGUGAGUGAUCUGCCCCCAACUUGGGUAUAAGCCUGGGAAACUGGGUCUAAUUCCCGAUAGGACUGCAGGGUGGUGCCUGUGGUGGAAAACGAUUUUCUAGUGGUUGGGGAUGAGCUCGCGGCCUAUCAGCUUGUCGGUGGGGUAAUGGCCUACCAAGGCGGCGACGGGUAGCCGGCCUGAGAGGGUGGACGGCCACAUUGGGACUGAGAGACGGCCCAGACUCCUACGGGAGGCAGCAGUGGGGAAUAUUGCACAAUGGGCGGAAGCCUGAUGCAGCGACGCCGCGUGGGGGAUGACGGCCUUCGGGUUGUAAACUCCUUUCGACCGCGAGGAAGCCACCUGGUUGGAAGGGUGGUGACGGUAGUGGUAGAAGAAGCACCGGCUAACUACGUG
RNAcentral lists this ribosomal RNA (494 nucleotides) under uncultured bacterium. Its description in RNAcentral is "partial 16S ribosomal RNA". It matches the Rfam family "Bacterial small subunit ribosomal RNA", at positions 28 to 507 of the family's 1533-position model. The record is from RNAcentral.